AAGCCCCAUAUGUACUACACGAUUACAUGGAUAAUUAAACAAGACAAAACUGUUACAAUACGACAAAAGGCAAUUGCAGGCAAUGCCACAUUCCGUCUAACAGAAUCGGAUUUGAAAGACAACAAAAUAAUCAUGGGUUUUAAUAUUAUUUGUGGCGUACAGGUAUCAGCAGCUCCAAAUGGCCAGAACAC
Dreissena polymorpha is the source of this 191-nucleotide long non-coding RNA. RefSeq lists it as uncharacterized. NCBI's taxonomy places the organism in Eukaryota, Metazoa, Mollusca, Bivalvia, Myida, Dreissenidae. The record is from RefSeq and is a predicted model, not a curated record. The transcript has 3 exons.